AUACCAUGGUGAGGACAAGCCCUAGUGUAUUAUUUCAUACUUUCUCAUGCGUCACAAUCUCUCUUCUUCGCCUUGCUUAAAUCUAGCAAUCUCAUUCCUUAUUCU
Arabis alpina (gray rockcress) is the source of this 105-nucleotide small nucleolar RNA. It matches the Rfam family "Plant small nucleolar RNA R71". Rfam says of the family: R71 is a member of the C/D box family of snoRNAs containing the C (UGAUGA) and D (CUGA) box motifs. Multiple nearly identical copies of this snoRNA have been identified in Arabidopsis, and it is thought to function as a 2'-O-ribose methylation guide for 18S ribosomal RNA. Lineage: Eukaryota; Viridiplantae; Streptophyta; Magnoliopsida; Brassicales; Brassicaceae. The record is from Rfam.